AAGCUGAGUUAAAUGAAUAAAUCAAAAGUUUUCUUUUCCUAUUUUCCUUUCAGGACUUCUUUCCUAGUACUCCUACUUUUCGCACUCGGAUAUUAAACAAAUGGUUGAGGUUCGGAGUUACCUGGUUUCCGUCUCUUUAAAUAUAUGGCAAUCCGGAACCGACUGCCUCCACACGGACUGACGGUCAAUGGGUUUAUAGUUGCCCACAAUUAUCCCGGCACGCAUAGGCGGAACUUCAAAUUGGGGGAAAACCAAUCCUCCAAGGAAAAAUAGCAGACCUCCUCUCAUGCACUUCUUGAGGAGGCCCAUAUAUAUCUGGUUGUGAUUGGCGCUUUCUUAAAAUAAAACAAAAAGGUCUACUUGGACACAUUGCUACACCAGACACACAAUUAUAUUUACCUUUUUGGAUUGUACGCACACACAUGAAACACAACAAAAUAUAUUUUAAACAAAACAAUUAUAUUUAAUAAAUUAUAUUAUGUAGACUUUUAUACGAUUUUUAUUGUUUUUCUGAGACUUCGUUACAAACAGGUUAAUCCUUUUUGACUAAUCACCAUUACAAAACUACCUCAAUUAUCCCGUCGCAGCCUUUUAUAUCGCGGGUACACACGCCAAUAUUAACUUUCCCUCCUUUCAAAUUUUCCCUCAAUUUUCCAUUCUUCAUCAUUUCUUUUUGUAUGCCCCAUACGUGCCAAACUCACGGCAGCACAGGGUUGUAUCAUACUAACUUUACGACACGCACCCACAUUUCCAUUAAUUACCCAAGUUAAGCACAAAGAUGGCAACACCACUCAUAACUAAGUGGCCGGUCAUUCUUUCAUUUCCGCCUCAUUUUCUUAUUGUCAGUCGGAGGUGUCAACAUGUUCGGGGAAUUGAUUAUAUUUGUAAAAGCCCCACACGCAACAAAACUUCACAAUAUGCAAGGAAUUCGAAGCAAAUUGUGAUGUGCGUGUUUUAUUCAAUUUCUCGUUCUUCGGUUUUAUCUGUCUUUCAAGAAAUAAUAAAGGAUUUUCACUAAAAAAAAGGAAGCAUGAUUUGCCGGUGGACCAUGUGUUCCUAUAUAUGAUGCCUACAAAACAGGAAAAUUCAUUGAUUAUUUUGUUUGGUGAACAUUUGGAGGUGUCUCAGUGAAACCCCGUUGCUAUGCGUGUGUAUACCCACGCUUCCACUAUUGCCGUCGCUGUUCACUCAACAUAACGGAAAGGCGUCUUACUCAUGGUAAUGCAUUUGUUUGUAUGUGUCGUUUUUUUCGAUGAAGUCGCUGCCGCGAUCUUAAAAGUUGUUUGUGUGUACGUGUGUAUGUACACGUACACGAUUCACCCCUACACAUACUGGCUAUUGAUCUCCUUCAUUCCCAUUCAGUAAGACAGACUCGCACAUAAACAUGCAACACAUAUUCGGACUAUCAAGUUUUUUUGAGUUUUAUUAUGGAAGCUUAUAUUCUAUUUUAACUGACGUCAUGUGGCUAAGCAGGUAAACGAUGUAGCUGACAAAUAAAAGGAUUUUUCCUGUUUGAUGUUCUCUGAUACAGACACAUUUUCUCCCAUAUACCUGCUUGAUAUAAACGGAAACCAACCCCGUAGAGAUGAAUUCCGUGAAAAUCUAUCACGGUAAGGGUAUAUGGCUGAGCAUCACCCAUUCAAAUUGGAUCGUUCACACUCGUAACACAGGUAGUUCGCUGUAUCUCUAUGAAUAGUACAUAAACAUCUGUAUACUGUGGUGACGGUCCUCGUUUAUAUUGCUGCAUUUAUUACACAUCACUCACAUGCCGUGGCAGUCCAACGGAAAAUUUUGACUUCGUGUUGAAGCAGUUCAGGACUUCUUUCCUAGUACUCCUACUUUUCGCACUCGGAUAUUAAACAAAUGGUUGAGGUUCGGAGUUACCUGGUUUCCGUCUCUUUAAAUAUAUGGCAAUCCGGAACCGACUGCCUCCACACGGACUGACGGUCAAUGGGUUUAUAGUUGCCCACAAUUAUCCCGGCACGCAUAGGCGGAACUUCAAAUUGGGGGAAAACCAAUCCUCCAAGGAAAAAUAGCAGACCUCCUCUCAUGCACUUCUUGAGGAGGCCCAUAUAUAUCUGGUUGUGAUUGGCGCUUUCUUAAAAUAAAACAAAAAGGUCUACUUGGACACAUUGCUACACCAGACACACAAUUAUAUUUACCUUUUUGGAUUGUACGCACACACAUGAAACACAACAAAAUAUAUUUUAAACAAAACAAUUAUAUUUAAUAAAUUAUAUUAUGUAGACUUUUA
Long non-coding RNA from Musca domestica (house fly), 2254 nucleotides. RefSeq lists it as uncharacterized. NCBI's taxonomy places the organism in Eukaryota, Metazoa, Arthropoda, Insecta, Diptera, Muscidae. The transcript is spliced from 5 exons. The record is from RefSeq and is a predicted model, not a curated record.